UGGGGAAUAUUGCACAAUGGGGGAAACCCUGAUGCAGCGACGCCGCGUGAACGAAGAAGGUAUUCGUAUCGUAAAGUUCUGUCCUAUGGGAAGAUAAUGACAGUACCAUAGAAGAAAGCUCCGGCUAAAUACGUGCCAGCAGCCGCGGUAAUACGUAUGGAGCGAGCGUUGUCCGGAAUUAUUGGGCGUAAAGGGUACGCAGGCGGUUUAAUAAGUCGAAUGUUAAAGAUCGGGGCUCAACCCCGCAAAGCAUUGGAAACUGAUAAACUUGAGUAGUGGAGAGGAAAGUGGAAUUCCUAGUGUAGUGGUGAAAUACGUAGAUAUUAGGAGGAAUGCCAGUAGCGAAGGCGACUUUCUGGACACAAACUGACGCUGAGGUACGAAAGCGUGGGGAGCAAACAGGA
This 404-nucleotide ribosomal RNA is filed under the name bacterium. Its description in RNAcentral is "partial 16S ribosomal RNA". It matches the Rfam family "Bacterial small subunit ribosomal RNA", at positions 355 to 777 of the family's 1533-position model. The record is from RNAcentral.